UGUCCACAUAGAGGUAGUUCCAAAGCCUA
This 29-nucleotide non-coding RNA is filed under the name Mus musculus (house mouse). The record is from RNAcentral. Lineage: Eukaryota; Metazoa; Chordata; Mammalia; Rodentia; Muridae.